Long non-coding RNA from Conger conger (European conger), 454 nucleotides. RefSeq lists it as uncharacterized. The transcript is spliced from 3 exons. The record is from RefSeq and is a predicted model, not a curated record. Lineage: Eukaryota; Metazoa; Chordata; Actinopteri; Anguilliformes; Congridae.
GGAGCGGAGAGAUCACCCUUGCUCUACUGCUGGCCUCCGGGACCCUCAUAGCAAAGGCCUGUUUCCCUUGAUCAGUCCGCCUGUGUCCACUCCCCCACGUGGUCUGUACACUCGUUCACUCAGUGAGGCACGAUUUAAUGCCCUUCGCCGGGAGUAUCAGGAGUACCGUCGUACCCAGGAGUCCAUCUGUUCCCGAGAUCCUUGCCUCUCCCCUGACCCUGACCUCGACCCCAGUUCCAACACUGCACUGCUCUGACAGCCAAAAUAUGCUGAACCUUCCAAAGGAGGGGGCAAAUAGUAUUGGAUUCAUCUUUUCACAAGAACAAACUUUCAGGAUGAAAAGUGAUUGGAUGUUAGUUGACCAUGAAGCCUGUUGAUUGGACAGUUCAAAAACUAGUAUACUAGAUGACAACACUGGAAACUUCAUGGAUAGCAUGAGACUUCUGUCCAUAUU